This 274-nucleotide ribosomal RNA is filed under the name uncultured bacterium. RNAcentral's name for it is "partial 16S ribosomal RNA". It matches the Rfam family "Bacterial small subunit ribosomal RNA", at positions 523 to 796 of the family's 1533-position model. The record is from RNAcentral.
CUACGGAGGGUGCGAGCGUUAAUCGGAAUUACUGGGCGUAAAGCGUACGUAGGCGGUUUGUUAAGUUAGAUGUGAAAGCCCUGGGCUUAACCUGGGUACUGCAUUUAAAACUGGCAGACUAGAGUUUGAUAGAGGAGAGUGGAAUUUAAGGUGUAGCGGUGAAAUGCGUAGAGAUCUGAAGGAACAUCAGAGGCGAAGGCGACUCUCUGGAUUAAAACUGACGCUGAGGUACGAAAGCGUGGGUAGCAAACAGGAUUAGAAACCCCAGUAGUCC